AGUGAACGCUGGCGGUAGGCCUAACACAUGCAAGUCGAACGGCAGCACAGUAAGAGCUUGCUCUUACGGGUGGCGAGUGGCGGACGGGUGAGGAAUACAUCGGAAUCUACUUUUUUGUGGGGGAUAACGUAGGGAAACUUACGCUAAUACCGCAUACGACCUACGGGUGAAAGCAGGGGAUCUUCGGACCUUGCGCGAUUGAAUGAGCCGAUGUCGGAUUAGCUAGUUGGCGGGGUAAAGGCCCACCAAGGCGACGAUCCGUAGCUGGUCUGAGAGGAUGAUCAGCCACACUGGAACUGAGACACGGUCCAGACUCCUACGGGAGGCAGCAGUGGGGAAUAUUGGACAAUGGGCGCAAGCCUGAUCCAGCCAUACCGCGUGGGUGAAGAAGGCCUUCGGGUUGUAAAGCCCUUUUGUUGGGAAAGAAAAGCAGCAGGUUAAUACCCCGCUGUUCUGACGGUACCCAAAGAAUGAGCACCGGCUAACUUCGUG
Molecule: ribosomal RNA, 492 nt
Filed under: uncultured bacterium
Lineage: Bacteria
Description: partial 16S ribosomal RNA
Rfam family: Bacterial small subunit ribosomal RNA
Source: RNAcentral